Molecule: ribosomal RNA, 448 nt
Filed under: uncultured bacterium
Lineage: Bacteria
Description: partial 16S ribosomal RNA
Rfam family: Bacterial small subunit ribosomal RNA
Source: RNAcentral
CGCCCAGACUCCUACGGGAGGCAGCAGUGGGGAAUAUUGCACAAUGGGGGAAACCCUGAUGCAGCGACGCCGCGUGAAGGAUGAAGUAUUUCGGUAUGUAAACUUCUAUCAGCAGGGAAGAAAAUGACGGUACCUGACUAAGAAGCCCCGGCUAACUACGUGCCAGCAGCCGCGGUAAUACGUAGGGGGCAAGCGUUAUCCGGAUUUACUGGGUGUAAAGGGGGCGCAGACGGCGAUGCAAGCCAGGAGUGAAAGCCCGGGGCCCAACCCCGGGACUGCUCUUGGAACUGCGUGGCUAGAGUGCAGGAGGGGCAGGCGGAAUUCCUGGUGUAGCGGUGAAAUGCGUAGAUAUCAGGAGGAACACCGGUGGCGAAGGCGGCCUGCUGGACUGCAACUGACGUUGAGGCCCGAAAGCGUGGGGAGCAAACAGGAUUAGAUACCCCCGUAU